UGCAGUAGAACGCUGAAGAGAGGAGCUUGCUCUUCUUGGAUGAGUUGCGAACGGGUGAGUAACGCGUAGGUAACCUGCCUUGUAGCGGGGGAUAACUAUUGGAAACGAUAGCUAAUACCGCAUAACAAUGGAUGACACAUGUCAUUUAUUUGAAAGGGGCAAUUGUUCCACUACAAGAUGGACCUGCGUUGUAUUAGCUAGUAGGUGAGGUAAUGGCUCACCUAGGCGACGAUACAUAGCCGACCUGAGAGGGUGAUCGGCCACACUGGGACUGAGACACGGCCCAGACUCCUACGGGAGGCAGCAGUAGGGAAUCUUCGGCAAUGGGGGCAACCCUGACCGAGCAACGCCGCGUGAGUGAAGAAGGUUUUCGGAUCGUAAAGCUCUGUUGUAAGUCAAGAACGGGUGUGAGAGUGGAAAGUUCACACUGUGACGGUAGCUUACCAGAAAGGGACGGCUAACUACGUGCCAGCAGCCGCGGUAAUACGUAGGUCCCGAGCGUUGUCCGGAUUUAUUGGGCGUAAAGCGAGCGCAGGCGGUUUGAUAAGUCUGAAGUUAAAGGCUGUGGCUCAACCAUAGUUCGCUUUGGAAACUGUCAAACUUGAGUGCAGAAGGGGAGAGUGGAAUUCCAUGUGUAGCGGUGAAAUGCGUAGAUAUAUGGAGGAACACCGGUGGCGAAAGCGGCUCUCUGGUCUGUAACUGACGCUGAGGCUCGAAAGCGUGGGGAGCGAACAGGAUUAGAUACCCUGGUAGUCCACGCCGUAAACGAUGAGUGCUAGGUGUUGGAUCCUUUCCGGGAUUCAGUGCCGCAGCUAACGCAUUAAGCACUCCGCCUGGGGAGUACGACCGCAAGGUUGAAACUCAAAGGAAUUGACGGGGGCCCGCACAAGCGGUGGAGCAUGUGGUUUAAUUCGAAGCAACGCGAAGAACCUUACCAGGUCUUGACAUCCCGAUGCUAUUUCUAGAGAUAGAAAGUUACUUCGGUACAUCGGUGACAGGUGGUGCAUGGUUGUCGUCAGCUCGUGUCGUGAGAUGUUGGGUUAAGUCCCGCAACGAGCGCAACCCCUAUUGUUAGUUGCCAUCAUUCAGUUGGGCACUCUAGCGAGACUGCCGGUAAUAAACCGGAGGAAGGUGGGGAUGACGUCAAAUCAUCAUGCCCCUUAUGACCUGGGCUACACACGUGCUACAAUGGUUGGUACAACGAGUUGCGAGUCGGUGACGGCGAGCUAAUCUCUUAAAGCCAAUCUCAGUUCGGAUUGUAGGCUGCAACUCGCCUACAUGAAGUCGGAAUCGCUAGUAAUCGCGGAUCAGCACGCCGCGGUGAAUACGUUCCCGGGCCUUGUACACACCGCCCGUCACACCACGAGAGUUUGUAACACCCGAA
This 1384-nucleotide ribosomal RNA is filed under the name Streptococcus thermophilus. RNAcentral describes it as "bacterial SSU rRNA". It matches the Rfam family "Bacterial small subunit ribosomal RNA", at positions 56 to 1425 of the family's 1533-position model. The record is from RNAcentral. Lineage: Bacteria; Bacillati; Bacillota; Bacilli; Lactobacillales; Streptococcaceae.